RNAcentral lists this ribosomal RNA (544 nucleotides) under uncultured Gigasporaceae. Its description in RNAcentral is "SSU rRNA". It matches the Rfam family "Eukaryotic small subunit ribosomal RNA", at positions 548 to 1098 of the family's 1831-position model. The record is from RNAcentral. Lineage: Eukaryota; Fungi; Glomeromycota; Glomeromycetes; Diversisporales; Gigasporaceae.
UUGGAGGGCAAGUCUGGUGCCAGCAGCCGCGGUAAUUCCAGCUCCAAUAGCGUAUAUUAAAGUUGUUGCAGUUAAAAAGCUCGUAGUUGAAUUUCGGGAUUCUACCGUUGGUCGGGCUUUGUCUGUACUGGCGUGUAGAAUUUCUACCUUCUGGGGAACUAUCAUGUUAUUAAUUUAGCGUGGUAGGAAACCAGGACCUUUACCUUGAAAAAAUUAGAGUGUUCAAAGCAGGCUUAUGUCUGAAUACAUUAGCAUGGAAUAAUAAAAUAGGACGGUGGUCCUGUUUUGUUGGUUUCUGAAUCACCGUAAUGAUUAAUAGGGAUAGUUGGGGGCAUUAGUAUUCAAUUGUCAGAGGUGAAAUUCUUGGAUUUAUUGAAGACUAACUACUGCGAAAGCAUUUGCCAAGGAUGUUUUCAUUAAUCAAGAACGAAAGUUAGGGGAUCGAAGACGAUCAGAUACCGUCGUAGUCUUAACCAUAAACUAUGCCGACUAGGGAUCGGACGAUGUUAACUUUUCUUGACUCGUUCGGCGCCUUACGGGAAAC